GGGAGUUAGCCAACGGAUAGGCAAAAGGUCUCCAAAACCUUUCAAAAGUCAGUUCGACUCUGACAACUCCUGC
This 73-nucleotide transfer RNA is filed under the name Streptomyces phage Coruscant. RNAcentral's name for it is "tRNA-Trp". Lineage: Duplodnaviria; Heunggongvirae; Uroviricota; Caudoviricetes; Stanwilliamsviridae. The record is from RNAcentral.